RNAcentral lists this ribosomal RNA (650 nucleotides) under Ureaplasma diversum. RNAcentral's name for it is "bacterial SSU rRNA". It matches the Rfam family "Bacterial small subunit ribosomal RNA", at positions 89 to 725 of the family's 1533-position model. The record is from RNAcentral. Lineage: Bacteria; Bacillati; Mycoplasmatota; Mycoplasmoidales; Mycoplasmoidaceae.
GGCUUAGUGGUGAACGGGUGAGUAACAUGUAUCAAUCUUACCCUUAAAGAUUGGGAUAACUAGUCGAAAGAUUAGCUAAUACCGAAUAAUGACAUUCUUUUGCAUGAAAGAAUGUAGAAAGUUGCGUUUGCAGCGCUUUUGGAUGAGGGUGCGACGUAUCAGAUAGUUGGUGAGGUAACGUCUCACCAAGUCAUUGACGCGUAGCUGUACUGAGAGGUAGAACAGCCACAAUGGGACUGAGACACGGCCCAUACUCCUACGGGAGGCAGCAGUAGGGAAUUUUUCACAAUGGGCGAAAGCCUUAUGAAGCAAUGCCGCGUGAACGAUGAAGGUCUAUAAGAUUGUAAAGUUCUUUUAUUUGGGAAGAACCACUAAAAUAGGAAAUGAUUUUAGUUUGACUGUACCAUUUGAAUAAGUAUCGGCUAACUAUGUGCCAGCAGCCGCGGUAAUACAUAGGAUGCAAGCGUUAUCCGGAUUUACUGGGCGUAAAACGAGCGCAGGCGGAUUUGUAAGUUUGGUAUGAAAUCUAGAUGCUUAACGUCUAGCUGUAUCAAAAACUACGAAUCUAGAGUGUAGCAGAGAGUUGGGGAACUCCAUGUGGAGCGGUAAAAUGGGUAGAUAUAUGGAAGAACACCGGUGGCGAAGGCGCC